This 460-nucleotide ribosomal RNA is filed under the name uncultured organism. Its description in RNAcentral is "bacterial SSU rRNA". It matches the Rfam family "Bacterial small subunit ribosomal RNA", at positions 1 to 451 of the family's 1533-position model. The record is from RNAcentral.
UGGAUCCAGACUUUGAUCCUGGCUCAGGAUGAACGCUAGCUACAGGCUUAACACAUGCAAGUCGAGGGGCAGCAUGGUCUUAGCUUGCUAAGACUGAUGGCGACCGGCGCACGGGUGAGUAACACGUAUCCAACCUGCCGUCUACUCUUGGACAGCCUUCUGAAAGGAAGAUUAAUACAAGAUGGCAUCAUGAGUCCGCAUGUUCACAUGAUUAAAGGUAUUCCGGUAGACGAUGGGGAUGCGUUCCAUUAGAUAGUAGGCGGGGUAACGGCCCACCUAGUCUUCGAUGGAUAGGGGUUCUGAGAGGAAGGUCCCCCACAUUGGAACUGAGACACGGUCCAAACUCCUACGGGAGGCAGCAGUGAGGAAUAUUGGUCAAUGGGCGAGAGCCUGAACCAGCCAAGUAGCGUGAAGGAUGACUGCCCUAUGGGUUGUAAACUUCUUUUAUAAAGGAAUAAAG